This 195-nucleotide unclassified non-coding RNA is filed under the name uncultured fungus. RNAcentral describes it as "sequence contains ITS1". The record is from RNAcentral. Lineage: Eukaryota; Fungi.
UUAACUAUUUUAUAUAAUACUCAGACGACACUAAUAAACAGAGUUUGGGGGUCCUCUGGCGAGCACUCACCAGCGUAAGCCGGUGGCCGAAGCGGCUCGCCAAAGCAACAAAGGUAUAAUUAACAUAGGGUUGGAGAGUCACCCUUGCGGGCGAUAUUCUCUGUAAUGAUCCCUCCGCAGGUUCACCUACGGAGA